This is a long non-coding RNA of Ostrea edulis (European flat oyster), 1556 nucleotides long. RefSeq lists it as uncharacterized. The transcript is spliced from 3 exons. The record is from RefSeq and is a predicted model, not a curated record. NCBI's taxonomy places the organism in Eukaryota, Metazoa, Mollusca, Bivalvia, Ostreida, Ostreidae.
GUGCACGGAGAACACGCGUGUUUCCGUUUCAACGAAAACAAACAAACACAGCUUCACCGUGACUGUCACAGCGAACGCUUGUAUUUUACAUCUUUAAAACGACCUGAUGUCAGAAGAAGAAGAUGCCCUGGAUCCCCUGUUGCAGGAUGACCCAAACGAUCAUGCAUUCAGUAUAAAUACGUACAUGGUAUUGACAUCCCAAUAUUUAGUGGGAAGUUCCCAGGUAUCAUCCGCUAGCGACAGUCUACUGCAAAUCCAGACAUGCAUUGGAAGGAUGCUGAUGUGGAGGGCACAGGAACACCUGAUCCCAGAACUGUGGCAUUUCAUUCGGGGUGACAACCUGGCUUUCAGUUGGUAUGACUCUUUGAGGUUGAAUAUAGGGUUUAAUCAGUAUAAAUUUGAUUAACAUUCAAAUAAAUCCAGAUAAUACAUUCACAAUUGGAAUCAUGGCAUUAUGGUACACUGAUAUGUGUGUACCAUUUUACUGGGGGUUUUUUGUUUUGUUUUUGUGUUUUGUUUUUUCUUUUGUUUUUUUUUCUUUUAUUUAAUUUUUUUUUCUGCAUAACUAGGGAUCAUAUACAUACAAAAUGAGACAAUUUCUAAUUAGUUUUUAAUUAUAAGAUAUGACACGUUUUAAGGUAUGGUGGCCAAUACUGAUUUUAUUUGCAAUUUUCUUUCAGAUAUCAUAUGGGACUCUAUUAUUCGCAGAACUGCAGAUUUUAUGAAGCUGUCUUUGACAGAAGAUUUGGUUUUCUCCAUCUGUGUUGCCACCAACCAUUAUGCUGAGAUAGUCAUAUCUAGGGGGAAGGGUUGCCAUAUACUUCCCAAGGAAGUGUGCAGCCUCUCACUGAAGAAGGAACUGUACAGAUUUUUGUACAUUAUCUUAUACACGCCUGCUGUGAAGUUCCAGUCGAUAGACAGAUAUUGGUCAACGCAUGCCCCUGUCGGAACAACUCGUUAUCAAAAAUUAUGUCUAGAAAUAGGUUUCAAGAGGUUUAAUAUAAGAACAUUUUUGUUAAAUAUGAUGCAAGUACAUUUAAAUCUAGUGAUUGAAAGUAAGUACUUGAACAUUCGUUUAUGUUGAACUUAGAGAGGAAAAAUGGUUAGUACUUUUUGAUAACAUUUGAUAAGGUGUUGUUGCUUAGCAACCAAAUAUAAUUGAAUAAAAAAAAUAGAUUAUUUUAGAUUAACAAUAAUUGAAAGAUCUUUGUUUUAAUGUUGCAAUACUUAUUCUAUUUAAUGGAACAAAAUGGCAAAACAUCAUAUUAUUAGAAAAUGAUGGACAAGUAUAUAAAGUACGAAGUUUCCAUUUGAUGACCUUUGACCUUAAUUCUCUUGAUUAUAUUUUUUGUUAAAAACCUUUUAAAAUGAUGAAGAUCUAUUUAAAGAUUAUAUUUUUAAAAUAAUAUGACAUUUACGAGUCAUCAUGGAUUGUAAUUACGUUUAAAUUGUGUCGAAUGGAUGCAGAAAGGCAAAUUAUGGUCAAAAUUGUACUAUGAAUGUUGUUACUUAGCAACCAAAAAUAUUUGUUUGUCAAUAAAAUUGAUUAGUUUGAU